Non-coding RNA from Boeremia exigua, 83 nucleotides. NCBI's taxonomy places the organism in Eukaryota, Fungi, Ascomycota, Dothideomycetes, Pleosporales, Didymellaceae. The record is from the annotation of a RefSeq genome assembly.
UCCAGUCUAGUGGUCAUGAUUUCCGCUUGUCAGUGUGUCAUCACAACGAGCGCGGGAGACCGGGGUUCGAUUCCCCGUCGGAG